Molecule: ribosomal RNA, 825 nt
Filed under: Enterococcus lactis
Lineage: Bacteria; Bacillati; Bacillota; Bacilli; Lactobacillales; Enterococcaceae
Description: bacterial SSU rRNA
Rfam family: Bacterial small subunit ribosomal RNA
Source: RNAcentral
AGGCGGGGGGCUCUAUAAUGCAGUCGUACGCUUCUUUUUCCACCGGAGCUUGCUCCACCGGAAAAAGAAGAGUGGCGAACGGGUGAGUAACACGUGGGUAACCUGCCCAUCAUAAGGGGAUAACACUUGGAAACAGGUGCUAAUACCGUAUAACAAUCGAAACCGCAUGGUUUUGAUUUGAAAGGCGCUUUCGGGUGUCGCUGAUGGAUGGACCCGCGGUGCAUUAGCUAGUUGGUGAGGUAACGGCUCACCAAGGCCACGAUGCAUAGCCGACCUGAGAGGGUGAUCGGCCACAUUGGGACUGAGACACGGCCCAAACUCCUACGGGAGGCAGCAGUAGGGAAUCUUCGGCAAUGGACGAAAGUCUGACCGAGCAACGCCUCGUGAGUGAAGAAGGUUUUCGGAUCGUAAAACUCUGUUGUUAGAGAAGAACAAGGAUGAGAGUAACUGUUCAUCCCUUGACGGUGUCUAACCAGAAAGCCACGGCUAACUACGUGCCAGCAGCCGCGGUAAUACGUAGGUGGCAAGCGUUGUCCGGAUUUAUUGGGCGUAAAGCGAGCGCAGGCGGUUUCUUAAGUCUGAUGUGAAAGCCCCCGGCUCAACCGGGGAGGGUCAUUGGAAACUGGGAGACUUGAGUGCACAAGAGGAGAGUGGAAUUCCAUGUGUAGCGGUGAAAUGCGUAGAUAUAUGGAGGAACACCAGUGGCGAAGGCAGCUCUCUGGUCUGUAACUGACGCUGAAGCUCGAAUGCGUGUGGAGCACACAAGAUAGUCCGGGUGUUCCAAAAAACCCGGGGAUCCAAAAAGGAAAGGGGGGGGGUCGGGGG